GUUGACUGUAGCUUAUUACACUAUUAAAGCAUGGCCCUGAAGCUGCCACGAUGGGGCAGCUGCCCCCAUCAACA
RNAcentral lists this transfer RNA (74 nucleotides) under Quedenfeldtia trachyblepharus (Atlas day gecko). Its description in RNAcentral is "tRNA-Phe". Lineage: Eukaryota; Metazoa; Chordata; Lepidosauria; Squamata; Sphaerodactylidae. The record is from RNAcentral.